RNAcentral lists this ribosomal RNA (533 nucleotides) under uncultured bacterium. RNAcentral describes it as "bacterial SSU rRNA". It matches the Rfam family "Bacterial small subunit ribosomal RNA", at positions 957 to 1512 of the family's 1533-position model. The record is from RNAcentral.
CAACGCGCAGAACCUUACCAACCCUUGACAUCCCGGGACCGGUCCAGAGAUGGAUCUUUCACUUCGGUGACUCGGUGACAGGUGCUGCAUGGCUGUCGUCAGCUCGUGUCGUGAGAUGUUCGGUUAAGUCCGGCAACGAGCGCAACCCACAUCCUUAGUUGCCAGCAGUUCGGCUGGGCACUCUAGGGAAACCGCCCGUGAUAAGCGGGAGGAAGGUGUGGAUGACGUCAAGUCCUCAUGGCCCUUACGGGUUGGGCUACACACGUGCUACAAUGGCAGUGACAAUGGGUUAAUCCCAAAAAACUGUCUCAGUUCGGAUUGGGGUCUGCAACUCGACCCCAUGAAGUCGGAAUCGCUAGUAAUCGCGUAACAGCAUGACGCGGUGAAUACGUUCCCGGGCCUUGUACACACCGCCCGUCACACCAUGGGAGUUGGUUCUACCCGACGGCCGUGCGCUAACCUUUUGGGGGCAGCGGACCACGGUAGGAUCAGCGACUGGGGUGAAGUCGUAACAAGGUAGCCGUAAAGGGCGA